CAGCACUGGACACAGACUCUGCACUUUUGACAUUUUCUAGAAAAAAAGGAUUUUAAAUUUCACAUCAAGUUAAUUAAAAGUCAUCUGAUGUUUCCACUGCAGUACUUCAGGGCCUUUCAGUAAUCCUGGAGAAUGACCCAGAGGAAUUUUACAGGAUGUGUUUCGAUGUGGAUGCAGACUUCAGUCAAGCAGUUGUAGACCUGCUCACAGUUCUACCAGAGGACAUGCCCUCAUUGUGGAUGCAAUAAAGGCAAUCAUGGAGGGAAGAAUUGUCAUGGAUGGGUUUGAAAGGCCUGUAUUUUAUUUUUGCUGUUCUGUUUGCAUGCCAUUCUGAAAAUGCUCUAUUGUUUAACAGUGUUCCAGUGGGUCCAGAUAAUGUUAUGACAACAAAGUGUUGUUUAGUCAAGAAGUCUGUAAAGAGUAUUAUAAGAACACAGAUGUUUUAAAAGCUAAUUUUUAUUAUUGUGAUAUUCUUAAAGUUUUUUACAAAAAUAAACUGUUGAGAAUUUCAAACUUGUGUUAAGUUCAUUUCAUGCUGGUUGAACGAAUAAAAAUACGUUCAGUUUACUUAAAGAAAAUGUGGAAACCGAUUGCACAAAAUGUUUUA
Labeo rohita (rohu) is the source of this 607-nucleotide long non-coding RNA. RefSeq lists it as uncharacterized. The transcript is spliced from 3 exons. The record is from RefSeq and is a predicted model, not a curated record. Lineage: Eukaryota; Metazoa; Chordata; Actinopteri; Cypriniformes; Cyprinidae.